RNAcentral lists this ribosomal RNA (270 nucleotides) under uncultured bacterium. Its description in RNAcentral is "partial 16S ribosomal RNA". It matches the Rfam family "Bacterial small subunit ribosomal RNA", at positions 524 to 776 of the family's 1533-position model. The record is from RNAcentral.
UACGGAGGGUGCGAGCGUUGUCCGGAAUCAUUGGGCGUAAAGGGCGCGUAGGUGGCCCGGUCAGUCUUUGGUGAAAGCGCGGGGCUCAACCCUGCGUCGGCCAGGGAUACUGCCGCGGCUCGAGCACUGUAGAGGCAGGCGGAAUUCCGGGUGUAGCGGUGGAAUGCGUAGAGAUCCGGAAGAACACCGGUGGCGAAGGCGGCCUGCUGGGCAGUGGGGGCAACCCCUGGAAGCUGACACUGAGGCGCGACAGCGUGGGGAGCAAACAGG